This 253-nucleotide ribosomal RNA is filed under the name uncultured bacterium. RNAcentral describes it as "partial 16S ribosomal RNA". It matches the Rfam family "Bacterial small subunit ribosomal RNA", at positions 524 to 776 of the family's 1533-position model. The record is from RNAcentral.
UACGUAGGGGGCAAGCGUUGUCCGGAUUUAUUGGGCGUAAAGAGCGUGUAGGCGGCCAUACAGGACCGUUGUGAAAACUGGAGGCUUAACCUCCAGACGUCGAUGGAAACCGUAUGGCUAGAGUCCGGAAGAGGAGAGUGGAAUUCCUGGUGUAGCGGUGAAAUGCGCAGAUAUCAGGAAGAACACCCGUGGCGAAGGCGGCUCUCUGGGACGGUACUGACGCUGAGACGCGAAAGCGUGGGGAGCGAACAGG